AUGAACGCUGGCGGCGUGGAUAAGGCAUGCAAGUCAAACGGACACUUUCGCAAGAUUGUGUUAGUGGCAGACGAGGUAGUAACACGUAGGAACCUCCCCCCGAGUCAGGAAUAACGAGUCGAAAGAUUCGCUAAUACCUGAUAGUCUCUUAGGAGUAAAGUCGUAAGACGCUUGGGAAAGGGCCUGCGGGCUAUCAGCUAGUUGGUAGGGUAAUGGCCUACCAAGGCGAUGACGGCUAGGGGAGCUGAGAGGCUGACCCCCACCGAUGGGACUGAGACACGGCCCAUACACCUACGGGUGGCUGCAGUCGAGAAUCUUCCGCAAUGGACGAAAGUCUGACGGAGCGACGCCGCGUGAAGGAUGAAGUCCCUCUGGGACGUAAACUUCUUUUGUCGAGGAGAAAGUUAUUGAUAGUACUCGAAGAAUAAGGGGUUGCUAAACUCGU
This 445-nucleotide ribosomal RNA is filed under the name uncultured bacterium. RNAcentral describes it as "bacterial SSU rRNA". It matches the Rfam family "Bacterial small subunit ribosomal RNA", at positions 29 to 506 of the family's 1533-position model. The record is from RNAcentral.